Picea glauca (white spruce) is the source of this 119-nucleotide non-coding RNA. NCBI's taxonomy places the organism in Eukaryota, Viridiplantae, Streptophyta, Pinopsida, Pinales, Pinaceae. The record is from Rfam.
AGCCGUGUGGUCGACACAAAGCGAACUAUUCUUUCGCCUUUUACUAAAGAAUACCGUGUGUUGGCCACAUACAGCGGCAUACGCCAAUUUUUGGAGCCUUCCAUUUCUUAUAAAUGGAG